Molecule: ribosomal RNA, 497 nt
Filed under: uncultured bacterium
Lineage: Bacteria
Description: partial 16S ribosomal RNA
Rfam family: Bacterial small subunit ribosomal RNA
Source: RNAcentral
GACGAACGCUGGCGGCGUGCCUAAUACAUGCAAGUUGAGCGAUGAAGAUUGGUGCUUGCACCAAUUUGAAGAGCAGCGAACGGGUGAGUAACGCGUGGGGAAUCUGCCUUUGAGCGGGGGACAACAUUUGGAAACGAAUGCUAAUACCGCAUAACAACUUUAAACAUAAGUUUUAAGUUUGAAAGAUGCAAUUGCAUCACUCAAAGAUGAUCCCGCGUUGUAUUAGCUAGUUGGUGAGGUAAAGGCUCACCAAGGCGAUGAUACAUAGCCGACCUGAGAGGGUGAUCGGCCACAUUGGGACUGAGACAAGGCCCAAACUCCUACGGGAGGCAGCAGUAGGGAAUCUUCGGCAAUGGACGAAAGUCUGACCGAGCAACGCCGCGUGAGUGAAGAAGGGUUUCGGAUCGUAAAACUCUGUUGGUAGAGAAGAACGUUGGUGAGAGUGGAAAGCUCAUCAAGUGACGGUAACUACCCAGAAAGGGACGGCUAACUACGUG